RNAcentral lists this ribosomal RNA (253 nucleotides) under uncultured bacterium. Its description in RNAcentral is "partial 16S ribosomal RNA". It matches the Rfam family "Bacterial small subunit ribosomal RNA", at positions 524 to 776 of the family's 1533-position model. The record is from RNAcentral.
UACAGAGGUCCCAAGCGUUGUUCGGAUUCACUGGGCGUAAAGGGUGCGCAGGUGGUCGGGUAAGUCUGAUGUGAAAUCUCCGAGCUCAACUCGGAAAUGGCAUUGGAUACUAUUCGGCUAGAGGAGUGGAGGGGGGACUGGAAUACUUGGUGUAGCAGUGAAAUGCGUAGAUAUCAAGUGGAACACCAGUGGCGAAGGCGAGUCCCUGGACACUUCCUGACACUGAGGCACGAAAGCUAGGGGAGCAAACAGG